Molecule: ribosomal RNA, 200 nt
Filed under: uncultured Glomus
Lineage: Eukaryota; Fungi; Glomeromycota; Glomeromycetes; Glomerales; Glomeraceae
Description: partial small subunit ribosomal RNA
Rfam family: Eukaryotic small subunit ribosomal RNA
Source: RNAcentral
CCAAUAGCGUAUAUUAAAGUUGUUGCAGUUAAAAAGCUCGUAGUUGAAUUUCGGGGUCAGUAGGUUGGUCAUGCCACCGGUAUGUACUGGUCUCACUGAUUCCUCCUUCCUGAUGAACUGUAAUGCCAUUAAUUUGGUGUUGCAGGGAAUCUGGACUGUUACUUUGAAAAAAUUAGAGUGUUUAAAGCAGGCUAACGCCU